Molecule: RNA transcript, 840 nt
Organism: Piliocolobus tephrosceles (Ugandan red Colobus)
Lineage: Eukaryota; Metazoa; Chordata; Mammalia; Primates; Cercopithecidae
Gene name: succinyl-CoA:3-ketoacid coenzyme A transferase 1, mitochondrial pseudogene
Exons: 1
Source: RefSeq, a predicted model, not a curated record
UUGAGGAUGGCAUGUAUGCUAAUUUGGGCAUAGGAAUCCCUCUCCUGGCCAGCAACUUUAUCAGCCCAAAUAUGACUGUUCAUCUUCAAAGUGAAAAUGGAGUCCUGGGUUUGGGUCCAUAACCACGACAACGUGAAGCUGAUGCAGAUCUCAUCAAUGCAGGCAAGGAAACAGUUACUAUUCUUCCAGGAGCCUCUUUUUUCUCCAGCAAUGAAUCAUUUGCAAUGAUUAGCGGGGGAUAUGUCGAUCUGACAAUGCUAGGAGCGAUGCAGGUUUCCAAAUAUGGUGACCUGGCUAACUGGAUGAUACCUGGGAAGAUGGUGAAAGGAAUGGGAGGUGCUAUGGAUUUAGUGUCCAGUGCCAAAACCAAAGUGGUGGUCACCAUGGAGCAUUCUGCAAAGGGAAAUGCACAUAAAAUCAUGGAGAAAUGUACAUUACCAUUGACUGGAAAGCAAUGUGUCAACCCCACUAUUACUGAAAAGGCUGUGUUUGAUGUGGACAAGAAAAAAGAGCUGACUCUGAUUGAGCUCUGGGAAGGCCUGACAGUGGAUGACAUACAGAAGAGUACCGGCUGUGAUUUUGCAGUUUCACCAAAACUCAUGCCAAUGCAGCAGAUCGCAAAUUGAAACAUGAAUAUUUGUACCAGGCUGCGUGUUUUUCAUUUUAAACACAUAGGAUUUAAUUGAAAGGACACCAAAAAUCAUAAUUGUGUAUUUAACAGGUGGUUUUUGAUUAGUUUUCUUCUAGGGUUUCAGACUUUAUGCAUCCAUAUAAACUAUUCUCUAGGCAUGCUGUGACAUUUUAAUAAAAAGCAAAAGGAGCAUUUAUAAUUAUCUCAUU